Molecule: ribosomal RNA, 323 nt
Filed under: uncultured bacterium
Lineage: Bacteria
Description: bacterial SSU rRNA
Rfam family: Bacterial small subunit ribosomal RNA
Source: RNAcentral
GAUGAACGCUGGCGGCGUGCUUAACACAUGCAAGUCGAACGGGAAACAUUUUAAUGAAGCUUCGGCAGAUCUAGCUUGUUUCUAGUGGCGGACGGGUGAGUAACGCGUGGGUAACCUGCCUCACACUGGGGGAUAACAGUCAGAAAUGGCUGCUAAUACCGCAUAAGCGCACAGCAUCGCAUGAUGCAGUGUGAAAAACUCCGGUGGUGUGAGAUGGACCCGCGUUGGAUUAGCUAGUUGGUAAGGUAACGGCUUACCAAGGCGAUGAUGCAUAGCCGAGUUGAGAGACUGAUCGGCCACAAUGGAACUGAGACACGGUCCAU